CGGCAACAGCUCAAAUUUGAAAUCUGGCUCUCGGGCCCGAGUUGUAAUUUGUAGAGGAUGCUUCGGGAGCGGUCCCCAUCUAAGUGCCCUGGAACGGGACGUCAUAGAGGGUGAGAAUCCCGUAUGG
This 127-nucleotide ribosomal RNA is filed under the name Aspergillaceae sp. RNAcentral describes it as "partial large subunit ribosomal RNA". It matches the Rfam family "Eukaryotic large subunit ribosomal RNA", at positions 99 to 228 of the family's 3401-position model. The record is from RNAcentral. Lineage: Eukaryota; Fungi; Ascomycota; Eurotiomycetes; Eurotiales; Aspergillaceae.